GGAGACAGGGGGCCCAAAAAUGCAAGUCGUACAAGGGUAACCGUAAUUGCUCCUGGAUUCAGCGGCGGACGGGUGAGUAAUGCCUAGGAAUCUGCCUGGUAGUGGGGGAUAACGUCCGGAAACGGGCGCUAAUACCGCAUACGUCCUGAGGGAGAAAGUGGGGGAUCUUCGGACCUCACGCUAUCAGAUGAGCCUAGGUCGGAUUAGCUAGUUGGUGGGGUAAAGGCCUACCAAGGCGACGAUCCGUAACUGGUCUGAGAGGAUGAUCAGUCACACUGGAACUGAGACACGGUCCAGACUCCUACGGGAGGCAGCAGUGGGGAAUAUUGGACAAUGGGCGAAAGCCUGAUCCAGCCAUGCCGCGUGUGUGAAGAAGGUCUUCGGAUUGUAAAGCACUUUAAGUUGGGAGGAAGGGCAGUAAGUUAAUACCUUGCUGUUUUGACGUUACCAACAGAAUAAGCACCGGCUAACUUCGUGCCAGCAGCCGCGGUAAUACGAAGGGUGCAAGCGUUAAUCGGAAUUACUGGGCGUAAAGCGCGCGUAGGUGGUUCAGCAAGUUGGAUGUGAAAUCCCCGGGCUCAACCUGGGAACUGCAUCCAAA
This 601-nucleotide ribosomal RNA is filed under the name Pseudomonas panipatensis. Its description in RNAcentral is "bacterial SSU rRNA". It matches the Rfam family "Bacterial small subunit ribosomal RNA", at positions 38 to 631 of the family's 1533-position model. Lineage: Bacteria; Pseudomonadati; Pseudomonadota; Gammaproteobacteria; Pseudomonadales; Pseudomonadaceae. The record is from RNAcentral.